UUUAUUUUCUCUUAAUCUCUUAUGAUAAGAAUGUUUGAUAUUUGAUCAGGUAAUGCAUUCCUUCUUAUUGGUUCUUUUAGGAACAAAAAUAUAACAUUUGUUUUACUACGGUUUCAUAUGUACAACCGGUGAUUGAUGAUACAAAACUGAACAAUAGAGUUCCGGGUGGUAACUGCUUAAAAUUGUAUCAAAAGAUAAAAAG
Molecule: long non-coding RNA, 202 nt
Filed under: Brassica rapa (field mustard)
Lineage: Eukaryota; Viridiplantae; Streptophyta; Magnoliopsida; Brassicales; Brassicaceae
Description: long non-coding RNA (BRAP_LNC000017)
Source: RNAcentral